CUGAGGGCCGGCGGAGGGCGCGGGCGGGACAGGCCCAGGAGACGGGACCGCGGCGGGCCGGGGCUCCGCGCCGAGGGCGCACGGGCUACGGGGAAGGGGCGACCGGCGCGACGUCCGCGGCGGGGCCCGGGAGCCCCGCGCCGCGGGCCGGGGGCCGGGGCCCGAGCUCGAUUCUGCGGCCGCGAGGUAUGGGAACCGGUCCGCCGGGCCAGGCAGCGGUGCUAGGCAGCAGGGGCAGCGACGCCGCCGCCUUUCCCUUCUCCUGCCCCCGUCCCUGCUCCGCCGCGUCCUCGUCCUCGCUGGGUCCCCGCCGCCGCCGCCUCAGCCUCGGCGCUCCUCGGGUUUCUUCUCUCCAUCAAGGCCGGGCCGACCCGCAGGGACCAUCCCGGAAAGUGAGGGGUUGUUGCCGUUUCCCGCAGCUGUUGGUGGCCAUCUUUAAUCCUCCUCCUCCUCCUGCUUUCUCCACCUCCCGCUGGCUGUCUGACUGACUGACUGGAUCCUCCUCUUUCCCCUCCUGCUCCUCCUACUGAGCCGGCCGCAGAAAUUGCAGCCGCUCAGCUUCUACCCCCUCCUGCCUUUCCUUCCUCUUUCCUUACUUCCUUCCCUUCCCUCGGCUUCCCGCUCUUGCCUCACUCUCAGCGGCUGCCUUCGCCCCUGUCUGCAGACAGCGCCGCUGGAUGCUCCCAGCUGGACUUCAACCCCACUCCUCUCAGUCCCUCUCCCCACUGCCUUCCAGACGCGCCUCUUCCCCGCCCCGCGCCCCUCUCUCCUCUCCCACCCCUGCCCCUCUCCGCGGCGCUCACCCUCCUCAGUCCCAGUUUCUGAAAGGACUCAGCUGAGAAAGGACAACUGGGUUCCGCUUUCCUUAACCCUACACCCUUUAGCUGGAUGCUGUCAGAGGCGAUGGAGAAACGCAAAGGCUACUAGACGCAACAAUAGAAUUACCAUAUUGUUUUUCCUGGUUUGAAAGGACCAGAUGGAAAGAAACUGGGCAAGCCAAUGAAAGUCUCUGGGGAUCAUGGGAAUUGAGUGUCUAUGAAAACCAUAUUCCAGACAAGAAUAUAGUCUAAGGUUUAUGGGACUCCCCAGUACUCUCCAUGUAGAGUCUAAUGUAGAAUCCAGGAGUGCACAGAAAAGUCACUGGAUGACACAGCAAGAGGCAACAUUUUGGAAGCAGAGGGCAACUCUCACUGGAAACCAAAUCUCCUGGCACCUUGAUCUUGGAUUUUACAGCCUCCAGAACUGAUAGCUGGGAGGCAUUACAUAGUCAUGUGCGAGGUCAAAACUGAGUCACCACCACAACCAAGUUCCAGCUGGCAAGAAGAGGAAAAAUAACACAGAGGAGUUAUGACCAGUGUUGUAAGGAUCUGGCCUAGAAAUGGCAUGCAUCUCUUCCACUAAUAUCCUAUUGGUAAAAAUGUAGUCACAUGGGCACACCACCUAUCUGCAUGGAAGGCUGGGAAAUGUUGAUCGGUAGGGCAGCCAUAUGUGUAGGAAGGAGAAAACAGAAUUUGGUGGAUACCUAGUAGUCUCUGCCAUACCCUUGACCAGAAAUUUUUCUUCUAAAGAAUUUAAUUCUAAAAGUUAUAGACAUUCCCAAAGAUAUACCUGCAAGCAUCACAGCUUUGUGUAUAAUUGCAAAAGUUGAAAUCAACAUGAAUGCCCAAAAUAGUGAAUUAUUUAAACAGAUUAUUACCCAUAUUAUGAAGAAAUACUCUGCAACUCUUAAAAAUAAAUGUAAUGUGCCAGGCGCAAUGGGAUAUGCCUGCAGGCCCAGCUACACGGGAGGCCAAGGCAGGAGGAUCACUUGAAAUCAAGAGUUCAAGUCUAGCCUAGACAACAUAGUGAGACUUGGUCUCUAAAAAAGAAAAAAAAAAAUAAAACUGAUGUAAUGAAUAUAUAAUUACAACAAAAGAGGUCUAACACUAUAGUAGAAAAGUUUGGGGCACUCAUCCCAUUCAUAAUUAUUUUACAUUUAAAUUACUGUUCCUACUUAAGUGGUGAGCUUGGUAACCAUUUUCAUAUCAGGUGAUACUGCUGCAGUAAUCAUAGCUGUUUGAAUCAGGAAUAAUCCCAAUCACAUUUUCUCUUAAUCGUUUAUUAUACUGGGCAUUGGGGUUGCAAGAUAAUGCACAGUCCGAGCUCAAUACAUGUCUUCAUGUACCUGUAUGUAAAUCCCACUUUUAUUCUAAAAUUCUUUGAAUAUUUUGUUUCUUGGAACCCAAUGAUCCUAAGAAAAUUAUGUACUUUUACCUGAAAAUUAAAACCAAUAUUUAUAAAAAGUGUAUAUGCAGUAUGAUACCACUUUUAAAAAAAGAUAAAUUUAUAGAAAAAAGUUUAUAUGACUGACAACAAUGUCUCUGAGUGGUAGGAUUACAGUUAAUUUUUAUUUUCUUCAUUCUACUUAUCUUUAUUUUCUGAACUUUCUACAAUGAACAUGUUUUAUUUUUACUUUUGUUAAAAUAAAUAACAUUUAAUUUGACGGAAAAUUCUAAAAAUCAACAUUUGGUAACUUAAAUAUUCAUUGGCACAUGAUUCUGUGCCUGUUUCUGGGGGUCAUUCCCAUGAGAAGAGCAGGUAGAACUUAUGAGAAUAGAGCAGUCGAAAUAUUAUAGGUUUCAUAUUUUACGGCUUUAUUGAAAACAUUGAUAUAUUGAAUAUUCAUAAAUUUUAAUUUAACUUUCUUUUAUAAUCCUUAAUGUGAGGCUAAGGUAUAAGGAGAAAGGAGAUUGGUAAGGAAGUGUGAUACAUAUUGAAUCAGGUGUCAAGGUACCAUUUGUGCCUGGAUCUGACCAAUAGACCAAGGUAAAAAUCUCAAAGAAUGAGACUUGUAAUGAGAAUGCCACAAACUUGAAUACCUUAUGCACAAAACACAAACAUUGUUAUGCAUAAUGUACAUGAACCCUGAAACAAAGAUAAUGAUUUGGACCACCCAACUGAAGUGGCAUGUUAUGUUUUUGGCAUGAACAAAAGAAACAAGAGAGAAAAAAAUCAAAAUAAUUAAAAUAAAUUGUUAGAGAAAAGUUACUUUAAAAAUAGCUAUAACGCUUUGCAAUUUCAGUAACAGUUCUGCCUCUGAUGCAAUGUAAAACAUGUAUUAGACAUUCAGGCUCCACAAUAAAUUUUAAUGAGCACUACAAAUUUAGAAUAUAUAAAAAUAUCAGUAACCUAUGAAUUCAUCAACAUAACUCACUUUUCAGUUAAGUUAGGCUGAGUUGAAAUUCUACUAAGUUUUCCCAUAUUCUUGAUAAAGGCUAAAUUUGAAAUAAUUUAUUUAGAUGACUAAUUGGCAAUUUGAUAGUAGUUACAUUUUAUGUAACACUUGAUAUAAUAACCCAAAUUAAUUAGCUCAAUAUUAUCUUCUGUGGUUUAUUGAUCCAAAAGUACAUAUUUGUUAUGUAAACUUAUACUAUGUAAACUUGAAUUAGUUUUUUGCUUCCUUGAAUUAAUAAAGCCCAUUAAUGCAAAUCUAAGCCUUCAUAGACUUUUCCAAUCCUUAGUUAAAUAUUAAAAACUGAGUAUUGUAGUUAUUUGCUAGGUAUAAAAGGUGACUCAGAGUAGAGAGUAAGAUGUCAGCAAAUAGACAAUAAGAUGUCAGCAAAAGUGCCUCAAAUUUUAACUGCGUCAAGUUAAGGGCAUUGUAAAUACUGUAGUUUUAUGUAGCUUGCAACUUCUACUGAAAUGAGUUUAAUCAUGUCUUUCACAUAGCUGAAGUUUGUGUCAAGAUUUAAGCUGAUUUUCUCAUUCUUAUCAAAGUCUCACCUGGGGGUAGGGAGGGGUAGGCCUACCUCCCACCUCUAUACUAUCAUUUUAGGAACAGACAGGCAUAAAUCUGUUCAUAUGGUAGAACACAUGAUGUUAGAGUAUAUUUUGUUGAAUGCUAUGGAAUAUUAAUAUAAUUAAUUCUAAAAUAUCACCUAAAAUAUGUCAACUGAAGAUCUGACUGUACUAAAUAUGAAAAAUAAAGCAGCACAUACUUUCUCUACUGUUUUCCUGGCCAUUCAUUGUCACAAGGCUUAGCCAGUCCCUGACACCCAAUACGCUACCAAUAAGCCACCAUCAUCUUUUCCUGGGGUUUUGCAUUCACUGGUUGUGUUACCUAGUAUUGCCUAUGAUAAUCGUUAGUCAUCAUUAAGGAACUAAGUAUUAUGUACUCCUUGCCUUGGAAUACUCUAUUUGGAGUUGUGCAAGUGAGAAGCCCCAAAUUUAUAAGUCAAUAUCCUCAUUCAGAGCUGCCACCCUUGUGACUUUAAAUUGGAGCUCCUGUUUUACACCACUGUGUAUCUCUAUUUCUGGCCAUCACUUUUUUAAUACACAUGACUUUCCUCUCCCAGUUUCCAGACAGGGCUCUUUGAAUGUAUGUCAAACUCAGUUACUCCAGAGAAAAAACUGCCUUUCCCUUCAAAGUGCUCCCUCGAGGUUCCUUAGUGAGUUUUGUACCUUCUAUUUUAAAAGAGGCUUUCCCAAACUGUGCCAUUUAUCAAUUUAUUGCCCAUCAGUCUCCACCUACCAUUCUCUGCUCUGCUUUGUGAACUGAAGAGGGACCCUGUAAACAUUUAUUUAUUGCCAGCUGGUACAACAUUAGACUCUGUCAAGAAAGGGUGCUGGAGGGCCACUUCAAGUCCACUGCAAGAGAAAGGGGCUGCUCCUGAUGGCCAGGUUUGCUGUUUCCUUCAGCAAGGCUGCUGGCGGAUGUGCAUGUCAGAGCUCUCAUAGCUCUCACCUCAGUGACACUUGACAACCAGCAUAGGGCCCACCAAACCCUCCAAGAAGUUUGGUCACCAGGUGAGCCACUUCCUGUGAACCCCUCCAGCAUAUACCUUCUGAUAAGUUUCUAUGCUGUUGGCAGUCUGGUGUUCCUAUAGCAAGCACACUCUCCCCAACAAGGCAUGAAUCUACAUUGGUUGAAGGUGGGACAGUUGGUUUCUUCUACAUUCUUGGUUCCAUCAUUGUUCAUUCUUCCUCAGUCCCAGAAGUAGCUGCUUUUUGCAUUUGUUAUCUCUGUAUUGAUUAGAGUUCCUUUUUAUUAUGAUUAAUGUAAUACUCCUUUAUAUUAAAUUUUUCCUUUUCAAAUAACUGGUGUGGAUCAAAGGCAUCCUGAAUCUGGUAUGAUCUAUCUCACUGUUUUCAGAUACUGUAGUAAGAGGCAUAAACUUUAUGUAAUUUUAGUAGAUUUGCAGUUGCAAAAUAUUUGAGAUACAUUUAUGGCAGGAAAGGUUGAAGUUAGAAAAUUAUGCAAUUGAGUAACAUUCUUAUGUAAAUUGUGAAAAGACUACCAUUAUCCCGCUUUAGCAGCAUAAUAUCUUUGUUGAGCUCUCAUGACUAUCCUGUCCUGUAAGAGUAAGCUUAGAGAAUCACUGAAACCAAUGAACAAAAUGUUGCUUAAUGGAACGAUUAUUGAGUUUAUAAAAAUAUAUUUGGUUAGAGAAUAAUGUUUUGUCUUCAGACUUUCAGUUAUGGGUGACCCAACUUCUCUAAAAUCAUUUUUCCAUACUAUUUCUGUUUGUCAAUUUGAUUUUCUUUGUUUCUACCAUUCAUAUUUAAAAUACAGCAUUAUCUCUAAUUUAUUCCAGCAUUAUUAAAUAUCUACUAUUUGCAUGGCACUGGCUGGGGAAUGGAAGAGAAUACAUCUUUUCUGCUCUCAAGGAGCAAAAAAAUGUAGCUAUAGAAAAAUUGCUCAAUGUAAAUAACUAAUACUUUUAAUAAUGUGACUAAUGUUCAGAAAUAAUGUAUCAUCAAAAUUUCUUACAGUUCAUUAGUUUGUAAAUUUAAUGUAAAUGUUGAGAAUAUUAUUCUUGUCAUAAUGUAAAGCCACGUUCUUUUACUUUAAUCUCUGGGGAAAAAAAUCACAAAUUAUUAUUAUUUUAAGACAAGGUGUGCGACAGUUGAAUAAAAAGUUGAGUGCAUUAAUUUCUUUAAUUAAAUCUAAGCUAUAAUUCAAAUGAACUUUGGAAAACACUAACUUUAGUCUGAUUAGUUAUUAGUAGUUAACUGAGUAUCUACAAAAACCAUACUUUCAUUCCCAAAACUGACAGUCAUUCUCCUUUGUCCCAUGAUAGAAAUAUGAAGAUUAUUCCACAAUACCCUCCGUAGACAGAAAACUUUAUAAACCCACUAAUGCCAAAGGGCAAGGUGAUAAUCCCCUAACGGAAAAACAGGAAGCCAUGCUGUUCUUUUCUUGAAUGCCACCUUUGCCGUCACCAUAGUGCUGUGAUCUAGGGUAAGGCAGUUUGUUGUUGUUGUUGUUGUUGUUUUAAAUAACAGAACAUUCAGAUAAAUAUCCUAAAGCAGUAUAAAAUUGGAAGACUAGUGUCUCUACUUUAAUUAAUUGCACAUGCUUCUAUGUUCUACAUAAAUCAAAGCCUUCCUUUAAGACCCGUUCUUACCUUCAUUCACGAUUUGCUCUCCUCUCACAGUCUUCUGGCCUCGGUCCCCUUGUCCAGUAUUCUCCUUUCUUGUGUCCUGACCUGGGGAGUCUCCAGCUCCCUCCAAGUGACAGAGAAUCCCGAGUGCUG
This 6515-nucleotide long non-coding RNA is filed under the name Homo sapiens (human). RNAcentral's name for it is "PREDICTED lncRNA (TCONS_00201790)". The record is from RNAcentral. Lineage: Eukaryota; Metazoa; Chordata; Mammalia; Primates; Hominidae.